This 474-nucleotide long non-coding RNA is filed under the name Phoenix dactylifera (date palm). RNAcentral's name for it is "long non-coding RNA (PDAC_LNC016276)". The record is from RNAcentral. Lineage: Eukaryota; Viridiplantae; Streptophyta; Magnoliopsida; Arecales; Arecaceae.
ACAUCAGGGUUGGGAGUGGGGAAUCACGGGAGUACAAUGCAACUCAAUAUACCAUGAGAAGGGCUCUACAAGUCUUUGAAAUAGAGGAAAUAAAAUCAAUUUACAAAAGAAGUCAUUUCACAAUUCGGAUCCAAUUUAACUACUCAUAAAGGAGUAUAAUCAAGGCUACCACUCACAAGUCUUUGAAAUAGAGGAAAUGAAAUCAAUUUACAAAAGAAAUCAUUUCACAAUUCAGAUCCAAUUUAAUUACUCAUAAAGGAGUAUAAUCAAAGCUACCACUCACAAGUCUUUGAAAUAGAGGAAAUGAAAUCAAUUUACAAAAGAAAUCAUUUCAUAAUUUGGAAUCAAUUUGAUUACUCAUCAACCUCUCGUAAUUCCUCUCAAUGUUCCCUCAAAUGCAUGUACAGAAUAAUCAAGCAUAGAGAAUCAAGAUUAUAGAGGAAUCUACUACAACAAUUAAUCAAUAAGCUCAGG